CUGAUUUUUAUAGAGUAAAGAUAGAAAUAAAACUUAGUAAAAUCAGUAAAAAUAUUCUUAGGCUAAAGUUAAGUAGUUUAAGUUGUGUGCAAGUGGUAGGAGAGCGUUCUAUUUGCGUCGAAGGUAUACCGGUAAGGAGUGCUGGAGCGAAUAGAAGUGAGCAUGCAGGCAUGAGUAGCGAUAAUUAAUGUGAGAAUCAUUAACGCCGUAAACCCAAGGUUUCCUACGCGAUGCUCGUCAUCGUAGGGUUAGUCGGGUCCUAAGUCGAGUCCGAAAGGGGUAGACGAUGGCAAAUUGGUUAAUAUUCCAAUACCAACAUUAGUGUGCGAUGGAAGGACGCUUAGGGCUAAGGGGGCUAGCGGAUGGAAGUGCUAGUCUAAGGUCGUAGGAGGUUAUACAGGCAAAUCCGUAUAACAAUACUCCGAGAACUGAAAGGCUUUUUGAAGUCUUCGGAUGGAUAGAAGAACCCCUGAUGCCGUCGAGCCAAGAAAAGUUUCUAAGUUUAGCUAAUGUUGCCCGUACCGUAAACCGACACAGGUGGGUGGGAUGAGUAUUCUAAGGCGCGUGGAAGAACUCUCUUUAAGGAACUCUGCAAAAUAGCACCGUAUCUUCGGUAUAAGGUGUGGUUAGCUUUGUAUUAGGAUUUACUCCGAAAGCAAGGAAACUUACAACAAAGAGUCCCUCCCGACUGUUUACCAAAAACACAGCACUCUGCUAACUCGUAAGAGGAUGUAUAGGGUGUGACGCCUGCCCGGUGCUCGAAGGUUAAUUGAUGGGGUUAGCAUUAGCGAAGCUCUUGAUCGAAGCCCGAGUAAACGGCGGCCGUAACUAUAACGGUCCUAAGGUAGCGAAAUUCCUUGUCGGUUAAAUACCGACCUGCAUGAAUGGCGUAACGAGAUGGGAGCUGUCUCAAAGAGGGAUCCAGUGAAAUUGUAGUGGAGGUGAAAAUUCCUCCUACCCGCGGCAAGACGGAAAGACCCCGUGGACCUUUACUACAGCUUGACACUGCUACUUGGAUAAGAAUGUGCAGGAUAGGUGGGAGGCUUUGAGUAUAUGACGCCAGUUGUAUAUGAGCCAUUGUUGAGAUACCACUCUUUCUUAUUUGGGUAGCUAACCAGCUUGAGUUAUCCUCAAGUGGGACAAUGUCUGGUGGGUAGUUUGACUGGGGCGGUCGCCUCCCAAAUAAUAACGGAGGCUUACAAAGGUUGGCUCAGAACGGUUGGAAAUCGUUCGUAGAGUAUAAAGGUAUAAGCCAGCUUAACUGCAAGACAUACAAGUCAAGCAGAGACGAAAGUCGGUCUUAGUGAUCCGGUGGUUCUGUGUGGAAGGGCCAUCGCUCAAAGGAUAAAAGGUACCCCGGGGAUAACAGGCUGAUCUCCCCCAAGAGCUCACAUCGACGGGGAGGUUUGGCACCUCGAUGUCGGCUCAUCGCAUCCUGGGGCUGGAGCAGGUCCCAAGGGUAUGGCUGUUCGCCAUUUAAAGCGGUACGCGAGCUGGGUUCAGAACGUCGUGAGACAGUUCGGUCCCUAUCUGCCGUGGGCGUAAGAAGAUUGAAGAGAUUUGACCCUAGUACGAGAGGACCGGGUUGAACAAACCACUGGUGUAGCUGUUGUUCUGCCAAGAGCAUCGCAGCGUAGCUAAGUUUGGAAAGGAUAAACGCUGAAAGCAUCUAAGCGUGAAGCCAACUCUAAGAUGAAUCUUCUCUAAGCUCUCUAGAAGACUACUAGUUUGAUAGGCUGGGUGUGUAAUGGAUGAAAGUCCUUUAGCUGACCAGUACUAAUAGAGCGUUUGGCUUAUCUUU
RNAcentral lists this ribosomal RNA (1801 nucleotides) under Campylobacter jejuni. RNAcentral's name for it is "partial 23S ribosomal RNA". It matches the Rfam family "Bacterial large subunit ribosomal RNA", at positions 1011 to 2925 of the family's 2925-position model. The record is from RNAcentral. Lineage: Bacteria; Pseudomonadati; Campylobacterota; Epsilonproteobacteria; Campylobacterales; Campylobacteraceae.